This 460-nucleotide ribosomal RNA is filed under the name uncultured bacterium. Its description in RNAcentral is "partial 16S ribosomal RNA". It matches the Rfam family "Bacterial small subunit ribosomal RNA", at positions 338 to 795 of the family's 1533-position model. The record is from RNAcentral.
CCUACGGGUGGCAGCAGUGAGGAAUAUUGGUCAAUGGGCGCAAGCCUGAACCAGCCACGCCGCGUGCAGGAUGAAGGCCCUACGGGUUGUAAACUUCUUUUGUAAAGGAGUAAAGUGAGGCACGUGUGCCUUUUUGUCUGUACUUUAUGAAUAAGGAUCGGCUAACUCCGUGCCAGCAGCCGCGGUAAUACGGAGGAUCCGAGCGUUAUCCGGAUUUAUUGGGUUUAAAGGGUGCGUAGAUGGGUGGUUAAGUCAGUGGUGAAAGUUUGCGGCUCAACCUUAAAAUUGCAAUUGAUACUGGCAGGCUUGAGUGCAGUUGCGGUAGGCGGAAUGCGUGGUGUAGCGGUGAAAUGCUUAGAUAUCACGAAGAACACCGAUUGCGAAGGCAGCUUACUAAACUGCCACUGACAUUGAGGCUCGAAAGCGUGGGGAUCAAACAGGAUUAGAUACCCGAGUAGUC